RNAcentral lists this ribosomal RNA (460 nucleotides) under uncultured bacterium. Its description in RNAcentral is "partial 16S ribosomal RNA". It matches the Rfam family "Bacterial small subunit ribosomal RNA", at positions 338 to 795 of the family's 1533-position model. The record is from RNAcentral.
CCUACGGGUGGCUGCAGUGAGGAAUAUUGGUCAAUGGGCGCGAGCCUGAACCAGCCAAGUCGCGUGAGGGAGGACGGCCCUACGGGUUGUAAACCUCUUUUGCCGGGGAGCAACGGGCGUCACGUGUGGCGCCACUGAGAGUACCCGGAGAACAAGCAUCGGCGAACUCCGUGCCAGCAGCAGCGGUAAUACGGAGGAUGCGAGCGUUAUCCGGAGUUAUUGGGUGUGAAGGGUGCGUAGGCGGUUCGUUAAGUCAGUGGUAAAAUUGAGGGGCUAAACCCCUUCCCGCCAUGGAUACUGGCUCUCUUGAGUGGAAGAGAAGUAUGCGGAAUGCGUGGUGUAGCGGUGAAAUGCAUAGAUAUCAUGCAGAACCCCGAUUGCGAAGGCAGCAUGCCGGCUUCCGACUGACGCUGAAGCACGAAAGCGUGGGGAUCGAACAGGAUUAGAUACCCCUGUAGUC